GUGGUGGUCCAUACCACGUUGAAAGCACCGGUCCUCGUUUAAUCACUAAAGUCAAACAACGUCGGGCGUGAGUCUGCUCUGGGAUGGGUACACGGGAACACCACGUGAUGUUAGCU
Molecule: ribosomal RNA, 116 nt
Filed under: Bombyx mori (domestic silkworm)
Lineage: Eukaryota; Metazoa; Arthropoda; Insecta; Lepidoptera; Bombycidae
Source: RNAcentral